GUAAAUUCUGAGUUGGGAUUCAGACCUAGAUUUUUUCCCUGGGAUCUAGGACAGAAUUAUUCUGCCUUAAGGAUUCUCUUUAUUUCCAACGGAACAUCCCAGUGCUGGAUGAGGCCGGAGGGUUACAACCGAAGAGGGGCUGCAGGUCUGAGUCUCUGGGACCCACAGUUCCUGUGCAGUCCCAUUCAGUCUCCCCCUUGCCCCCAGUCUAACUGAAAAGAGGGAGCCCAACUGAACACGCAGCUCCUUAUACUUGAGGCCGCUUGGGACCUCCCAGCCUCCUCCUCCCUGUUUGGGACCUCUACAUCCUGGCCACACCUGAAGUCCCACGGUCCUACGGUCCCUCUCCCACACUUUUUUUUUUUUUUUUUUAGAUUUUAGAGUCGCAGGCUCCUCUGAGCCAGCCAGGGGACCCUGCCUUGCGCACUCUUUACCACCUCCUCUGCACCCUAAUCCUGUCUGUGCUUAAACAGAUGUCCACCUCGAAUGAGAAAACCGGAGUUCUAGCGGGGGCCUCGUUGUUCCGAGUCCCAACAAAUAGCUCGGUUUCCGUCUGAGUGUCAGGCUAAGCGGCUCCCAUCACCUGCCGCAUCUCGCAGGGCGCAGGGAACCCACUUUCCAACACCACGAAAGGGGUCUCAGCACGGACGCCGCCAUCUUGACUGCCGCCUCCCAGAGCCUGGGCUCACCCGGGAGGGUGCUCGCGCCUGCGCGGACCGCGGAGGGGCGUGGCGAAGAGCGCGGGGGCGAGGCCUCGGCGGAAGGCGCGGGGGAGGGACGCAAUGUGCCCCUAGUGGCGGGUGUGUGCGCGCCUCAGCUCUGUAGCGUCUGGAUUCCGUUUCCACGGUUACGGCGGCGCGAAGCUGUGUCCCAGGCCCAUGUCGCCUCCCUGGAGGGCCACACCACCAAAGAUAAAGCCGUGCUUCUGGCAGGUUCUCCCCUGCAGGAUGAAACCACCCUGGGUCAGUUUGGAGUAGAAGCCCUGGCGACCCUGGAAGUGGUUGGCCGCAUGGCUAGGAGUUAACACUGACAGCGUUAAUGAAGAAUUACCCGUGGGAGUCAUUGAGCUGCUGUGUGAUAUGGUAUUUAAACCAAACACGAUGACCGUGAGAUACCAGAAUUCUACAAAGACCGCAGCAGGAGUUACCCGGAUACAGAAACCACUGCGCAAAGGUUCUGUCCAUGUUUGGAAGCACCUGUGUCUGUGAACAGCUCUUUUCUGUUAUAAAAUUGAGUAAAACUAAAUUUCACUCCCCAUUAAAGGAGACAAGAUCACAUUCAGUUCUGCACAUUGCAGCUCGAAAUAUGAGACCAGACAUUGACAUCUUGGUGCAGAAAAAAAGGUGUCAGGUUUCAGAUUCCAAGUCAAAGGAAUAACAGAUUAUGAACAAAAAAUUUAAUAGUUAAAGAUUUCAAUUUUUCGAUGUGUAUUUUUAAAUUUUAUUUUUCAAAUAUCCAGUGUCAUAAAUUUUAUAUGUUACAUGCUUGCACUGUGGUUCAAUUAAAACAAAAAAAAAAAGUUUCGUGGUUUUUUUUUUUUCCCCUGGGCAUUUGAUUUUUCAUAUACCUAGCCUGUUGUACUUAUUUUUGUAACUUACCUUGGCUACCCAACUUUAGUUUGAGACUUCUGCCUAAUGGAGCUAGUUCCCAUAAUUAGAUUUGUUUUCCUAUGUGCUUCAAGCCAGGAAAAAACUGUCAUUUGCUGCCUCGAGCAAAAUGCCUGAGCUGUAGAAUUUCUGUGGAUAAUAUUUGAGCCAGUUUGUGCUAGUUGUCUCAGCUCCAAAUUCAUUCUUCGUUGUCUGCUCUCUAAAAAUGGAUCUGGGCCCUUUAACCAUCUUGCCUUUGACAGCAGGCAUGUUGCGAAGCUUUGUCAGUGGAGGGCACUGGAGACACGUUGCAGCAGGAGUUUUCCUUCCUGGUUUGCUCACUUGUCCGACUCCUGCAGUGCCCGGCAGUCAGCAGCACCCGGAGCCAGCAUCUCUCCCUUUCUUACCUCUACAGGCAGUUUUAUCAUGAAAUCUUUC
Molecule: long non-coding RNA, 2024 nt
Filed under: Ursus maritimus (polar bear)
Lineage: Eukaryota; Metazoa; Chordata; Mammalia; Carnivora; Ursidae
Description: lncRNA (ENSUMAG00000009724.1)
Source: RNAcentral